CAUCUCAUCAUUUUUCAUCUCAUUUAAUCUCAUUUCAUUUCAUUUCAUCUCAUCAUUUCAGCUCAUCAUUUCAUCUCACCACAUCUCUUCAUUUCAUCAUUUCAUUUCAACAUUUCAUCAUUUCAGCUCAUCAUUUCAUCUCAUCUCAUCUUUCAAUUUCAUUUCAAUAUCAUUUCAUUUCAUCAUUUCAUCUCAUUUCAUUAUUUCAUUAUUUCAUUUCAUCUCAUUUCAAUUCAUCUCAUCAUUUUAUCUCAUUUUUCAUCUCAUCAUUUUUCAUCUCAUCAUUUAAUCUCAUCAUCUCAUCUCAUCAUUUCAUCUCAUCAUUUCAUCUCAUCAUUUUAUCUCAUUUCAUCUCAUCUCAUUUCAAUUUCAUUAUUUCAUUUCAUUUCACUUCAUUUCAUUUCAUCUCAUCAUUUCAUCUCAUCUUAUUUCAUCUCAUCAUUUCUUCUCAUCUCAUUUCAUCAUUUCAUUUCAUCUCAUCUCACCUCAUCUCAUUUCAUCUCAUCAUUUCAUCUCAUCAUUUCAUCUCAUCCUUUCAUCUCAUCAUUUCAUCUCUUCAUCUCAUUUCAUCUCAUCAUCUCAUCAACUCAUUUCAUCUUAUCUCAUCAUUUCAUCAUUUCAUCUCAUCAUUUCAUCUCAUCUCGUAUCUUCUCAUCUCAUUUCAAUUUCAUUAUUUCAUUUCAUUAUUUCAUGUCAUCUCAUCUCAUCACAUCUCAUCAUUUCAUCAUUUUAUUUCAUAAUUUCAUCUUAUCAUUUCAUCUCAUCUCAUUUCAAUUUUAUUUCAAUUUCA
RNAcentral lists this long non-coding RNA (790 nucleotides) under Gorilla gorilla gorilla (western lowland gorilla). Its description in RNAcentral is "lncRNA (ENSGGOG00000044473.1)". Lineage: Eukaryota; Metazoa; Chordata; Mammalia; Primates; Hominidae. The record is from RNAcentral.